RNAcentral lists this long non-coding RNA (889 nucleotides) under Ornithorhynchus anatinus (platypus). RNAcentral's name for it is "lncRNA (ENSOANG00000047733.1)". The record is from RNAcentral. Lineage: Eukaryota; Metazoa; Chordata; Mammalia; Monotremata; Ornithorhynchidae.
AAAAUGGCUGAAGUUCUGUUGCAGAAGGUACCACAGAAAUGGAGCAGAAGGAACACUCAGAAGAGGAUCCAGAAAAUGAAUAACAAAGGCAUUGACCGAUUCACCUCCGGCCCUGUCCCAUUGGAUGUGGCAACUUCACACAGAGAGACAUCUUCCAAUUUGUCACUCCUGUACCUGAUCCCCGCCACCUUCUGCCCUGAGACGACGACAUAACUUUUUGGGUGGGAGUGACCUCUGAGGCAUUUCUCACAGAAAGUCAAGAGAUUGAAGCCAGGGCUCAGGAGAAAAUGGAAAAAAAGGAAAUGAUUCACUGAAUUGUUCUCAAAGACUAUUUAGGGCUUUCUCAUUAUCAGUUGUAUUCAUUUAUUCCCCAGCAGUUGAACGCCUGAGUUCACUUGUAAAGUUGCCUUUUUAAGCUAAUAUUUCUUUGCUUUCCUGUAUUUAGAAAUCACUGAGAUUGUAUUGAUCCAUAUUGAUAAUUUUAUGGGGCUCAAUCCGUCACAGUGUUAAAAUGCUACCACAGAGAUAACGGUAUUACUUUGUCUUUAACUUCAUGCUCAGACUGGUAUUUCAUAUUGAUUUCUUGGCUUCGGUUUGUUGUUUAAUGAUUUGCAUUUUCAUUGUGUUGCAUUUACCAUGACUGAGUUUCCAAGAAAGCUACAGUGUUUUCGAUGUUUGUAUUUCUAAAAUCAGAAAUAUCUCAUUCAUUACUGCUGUUUAAAAUUGAAAAUCAAUAUUUAUCUGCUAUUCACAGUGCCUAAUGUUUGUGCUGUCUGCCUUAUCUACUUUGAUGUAUGGAAAAAAAAUUCCAACAUUCAAAAAGUGUUUUCAUCCAAGCAGUUCUUGCAUAUCUGAUAACUCUUUUGUUUAAUUGAUUUGCUGUGACUUG